UGGGGAAUAUUGCACAAUGGGGGAAACCCUGAUGCAGCGACGCCGCGUGGAGGAAGAAGGUCUUCGGAUUGUAAACUCCUGUUGUUGGGGAAGAUAAUGACGGUACCCAACAAGGAAGUGACGGCUAACUACGUGCCAGCAGCCGCGGUAAAACGUAGGUCACAAGCGUUGUCCGGAAUUACUGGGUGUAAAGGGAGCGCAGGCGGGAAGACAAGUUGGAAGUGAAAUCUAUGGGCUCAACCCAUAAACUGCUUUCAAAACUGUUUUUCUUGAGUAGUGCAGAGGUAGGCGGAAUUCCCGGUGUAGCGGUGGAAUGCGUAGAUAUCGGGAGGAACACCAGUGGCGAAGGCGGCCUACUGGGCACCAACUGACGCUGAGGCUCGAAAGUGUGGGUAGCAAACAGGAUUAGAUACCCUGGUAGUCCACACCGUAAACGAUGAUUACUAGGUGUUGGAGGAUUGACCCCUUCAGUGCCGCAGUUAACACAAUAAGUAAUCCACCUGGGGAGUACGACCGCAAGGUUGAAACUCAAAGGAAUUGACGGGGGCCCGCACAAGCAGUGGAGUAUGUGGUUUAAUUCGAAGCAACGCGAAGAACCUUACCAGGUCUUGACAUCCGAUGAAUAGCUUAGAGAUAAGUGAAGUCCUUCGGGACAUCGAGACAGGUGGUGCAUGGUUGUCGUCAGCUCGUGUCGUGAGAUGUUGGGUUAAGUCCCGCAACGAGCGCAACCCUUAUUGCCAGUUACUACGUAAGAGGACUCUGGCGAGACUGCCGUUGACAAAACGGAGGAAGGUGGGGAUGACGUCAAAUCAUCAUGCCCUUUAUGACCUGGGCUACACACGUACUACAAUGGCGUUUAACAAAGAGAAGCAAGACCGCGAGGUGGAGCAAAACUCAAAAACAACGUCUCAGUUCAGAUUGCAGGCUGCAACUCGCCUGCACGAAGUCGGAAUUGCUAGUAAUCGUGGAUCAGCAUGCCACGGUGAAUACGUUCCC
RNAcentral lists this ribosomal RNA (996 nucleotides) under uncultured bacterium. Its description in RNAcentral is "bacterial SSU rRNA". It matches the Rfam family "Bacterial small subunit ribosomal RNA", at positions 355 to 1375 of the family's 1533-position model. The record is from RNAcentral.